RNAcentral lists this ribosomal RNA (440 nucleotides) under uncultured bacterium. RNAcentral's name for it is "partial 16S ribosomal RNA". It matches the Rfam family "Bacterial small subunit ribosomal RNA", at positions 338 to 795 of the family's 1533-position model. The record is from RNAcentral.
CCUACGGGUGGCAGCGGUGGGGGAUAUUGCACAAUGGGGGAAACCCUGAUGCAGCGACGCCGCGUGUGGGAAGACGGUCCUCUGGAUUGUAAACCACUGUCCCCAGGGACGAAGAUGACGGUACCUGGGGAGGACGCUCCGGCUAACUACGUUCCAGCAGCCGCGGUAAUCCGUAGGGAGCGAGCGUUGUACGGAGUUACUGGGGGUAAGGGGAGCGUAGGGGGCGAUUAAAAUUGGGUUGAAAAACUACAGGCUAAACUGGUAGUCGCACUCAAAACUGCAGCUCUUGAGUGAAGGAGAGGCAGGCGGAAUGCCUAGUGUAGCGGUGAAGUGCGUAGAUAUUAGGAGGAACACCAGUGGCGAAGGCGGCUUGCUGGGCUGUUACUGACGCUGAGGCUCGAAAGUGUGGGGAGCAAACAGGAUUAGAUACCCCAGUAGUC